CUACCCGCUGAACUUAAGCAUAUCAAUAAGCGGAGGA
This 37-nucleotide ribosomal RNA is filed under the name Rhizopus microsporus. RNAcentral's name for it is "partial 28S ribosomal RNA". Lineage: Eukaryota; Fungi; Mucoromycota; Mucoromycetes; Mucorales; Rhizopodaceae. The record is from RNAcentral. RNAcentral also lists the same sequence under 2 other names.